GACGAACGCUGGCGGCGUGCCUAAUACAUGCAAGUCGAGCGAACCAAUAAGAAGCUUGCUUUUUGUUGGUUAGCGGCGGACGGGUGAGUAACACGUGGGUAACCUGCCUGUAAGACCGGGAUAACUCCGGGAAACCGGUGCUAAUACCGGAUAGAUUAUCUUUCCGCAUGGAGAGAUAAGGAAAGAUGGCUAUUGCCAUCACUAACAGAUGGGCCCGCGGCGCAUUAGCUAGUUGGUGAGGUAACGGCUCACCAAGGCGACGAUGCGUAGCCGACCUGAGAGGGUGAUCGGCCACACUGGGACUGAGACACGGCCCAGACUCCUACGGGAGGCAGCAGUAGGGAAUCUUCCGCAAUGGACGAAAGUCUGACGGAGCAACGCCGCGUGAGCGAAGAAGGUCUUCGGAUUGUAAAGCUCUGUUGUUAGGGAAGAACAAGUAUCGGAGGAAAUGCCGGUACCUUGACGGUACCUGACGAGAAAGCCACGGCUAACUACGUG
This 498-nucleotide ribosomal RNA is filed under the name uncultured bacterium. RNAcentral's name for it is "partial 16S ribosomal RNA". It matches the Rfam family "Bacterial small subunit ribosomal RNA", at positions 28 to 507 of the family's 1533-position model. The record is from RNAcentral.